This 429-nucleotide ribosomal RNA is filed under the name Bacillota bacterium. RNAcentral's name for it is "Firmicutes bacterium partial 16S ribosomal RNA". It matches the Rfam family "Bacterial small subunit ribosomal RNA", at positions 355 to 776 of the family's 1533-position model. The record is from RNAcentral. Lineage: Bacteria; Bacillati; Bacillota.
UAGGGAAUCUUCGGCAAUGGACGAAAGUCUGACCGAGCAACGCCGCGUGAGUGAAGAAGGUUUUCGGAUCGUAAAACUCUGUUGUUAGAGAAGAACAAGGACGUUAGUAACUGAACGUCCCCUGACGGUAUCUAACCAGAAAGCCACGGCUAACUACGUGCCAGGAGCCGCGGUAAUACGUAGGUGGCAAGCGUUGUCCUGAUUUAUUGGGCGUAAAGCGAGCGCAGGCGGUUUCUUAAGUCUGAUGUGAAAGCCCCCGGCUCAACCGGGGAGGGUCAUUGGAAACUGGGAGACUUGAGUGCAGAAGAGGAGAGUGGAAUUCCAUGUGUAGCGGUGAAAUGCGUAGAUAUAUGGAGGAACACCAGUGGCGAAGGCGGCUCUCUGGUCUGUAACUGACGCUGAGGCUCGAAAGCGUGGGGAGCAAACAGG